Macaca mulatta (Rhesus monkey) is the source of this 513-nucleotide non-coding RNA. Lineage: Eukaryota; Metazoa; Chordata; Mammalia; Primates; Cercopithecidae. The record is from RefSeq and is a predicted model, not a curated record.
GCCUGCUAGACCACUUUAAUGUACCCUUUCCAUCUCAAGCACAGGAACGAUUCCCUUCUGGAAUGUUCCUCCUUCUGAGGCUUUGAGAAGGCUCGUCUGGGGAGUGGAUGGACUCCCCACGUGUGGGUUGGAUCCCAUCCGAACCUUGAUUCCCACACCCGCCUGCUGCCAGACCUCGUCUGCCAAUUGUGGCUGUGCGGAGCCCGAGGGGUGGGUGUCUCCCUGGAGAGCUUCUGACAGACAUCUGCACCGAGAAAUCCAACUCCCAGCCUCCUUGCGGGUGGUCUCAGAUCUGCCAAGCCACCAGGCGUGAGGCUGGCAAGGGCAGAAGAAAAGCUGCCGAAUCAGCUCUGGAAUCCCACAGCUGACCCCGCCUCUGGUUCUGCAGGAGAGGAGCCCAGCUUUGCUUUGCGGUCAAAACUGCCUCUUCUGUUUUCUGCACCAACCAAGAUGCCAUCUGAGACCGACACCCUCCAAUUCCUGUGAUAAAUAAAGGAGUGAUAAUAACGAUAA